RNAcentral lists this ribosomal RNA (928 nucleotides) under uncultured bacterium. RNAcentral's name for it is "bacterial SSU rRNA". It matches the Rfam family "Bacterial small subunit ribosomal RNA", at positions 8 to 916 of the family's 1533-position model. The record is from RNAcentral.
AGAGUUUGAUCAUGGCUCAGGACGAACGCUGGCGGCGUGCCUAAUACAUGCAAGUCGAGCGGACUUUUUGGGAGCUUGCUUCCGGAAAGUCAGCGGCGAACGGGUGAGUAACACGUGGGUAACCUGCCUGCAAGACCGGGAUAACUUCGGGAAACCGGAGCUAAUACCGGAUGAUCUCCUUUUCCGCAUGGAGAAGGACUGAAAGGACGGCGCAAGCUGUCGCUUGCAGAUGGGCCCGCGGCGCAUUAGCCAGUUGGUGAGGUAACGGCUCACCAAGGCGACGAUGCGUAGCCGACCUGAGUGGGUGAUCGGCCACACUGGGACUGAGACACGGCCCAGACUCCUACGGGAGGCAGCAGUAGGGAAUCUUCCGCAAUGGACGAAAGUCUGACGGAGCAACGCCGCGUGAGCGAUGAAGGCCCUCGGGUCGUAAAGCUCUGUUGUCAGGGAAGAACAAGUGCGGGAGUAACUGCCCGCACCUUGACGGUACCUGACCAGAAAGCCACGGCUAACUACGUGCCAGCAGCCGCGGUAAUACGUAGGUGGCAAGCGUUGUCCGGAAUUAUUGGGCGUAAAGCGCGCGCAGGCGGUCCCUUAAGUCUGAUGUGAAAGCCCCCGGCUUAACCGGGGAGGGUCAUUGGAAACUGGGGGACUUGAGUGCAGAAGAGAAGAGCGGAAUUCCAUGUGUAGCGGUGAAAUGCGCAGAGAUAUGGAGGAACACCAGUGGCGAAGGCGGCUCUUUGGUCUGUAACUGACGCUGAGGCGCGAAAGCGUGGGGAGCAAACAGGAUUAGAUACCCUGGUAGUCCACGCCGUAAACGAUGAGUGCUAAGUGUUAGAGGGGUUAACCCUUUAGUGCUGCAGCUAACGCGUUAAGCACUCCGCCUGGGGAGUACGGCCGCAAGGCUGAAACUCAAAUGAAUUGACGG